Molecule: long non-coding RNA, 275 nt
Filed under: Elaeis guineensis (African oil palm)
Lineage: Eukaryota; Viridiplantae; Streptophyta; Magnoliopsida; Arecales; Arecaceae
Description: long non-coding RNA (EGUI_LNC051129)
Source: RNAcentral
UAGUGGGUGAGAUAAUUCAGCCCUUAUGGCUCUCGUGAGAUCAAAAGAGACAGUUACGCCAUAUUUUUAUCUAUUCGAAAUGGAAAGCUGUCGCAUACAAUGAAGGGAUAAGUCAGCUGAGGCAGCUCAUGCAUAGGUUAGACUUUGCGGAUGCCUCAGCUCAGCAGAGAGACUGACUCCUCAGCUCAUACGAUAAUCAGCGACUGUGUUGACGACUCGAGAGCCUGAAAUACCUUACGAUGCAAUGCCGAUCCAAGGUGCUUAUGGUAUCCCCC